GCUUCGGUAGCCUAGUGAUUAGAGCGUCCGCCUCGGAUGCGAUAGGUCAUGGGUUCGAUCCCCGGUCGAGUCA
Molecule: non-coding RNA, 73 nt
Organism: Potamilus streckersoni
Lineage: Eukaryota; Metazoa; Mollusca; Bivalvia; Unionida; Unionidae
Source: the annotation of a GenBank genome assembly